This 429-nucleotide ribosomal RNA is filed under the name Bacillota bacterium. Its description in RNAcentral is "Firmicutes bacterium partial 16S ribosomal RNA". It matches the Rfam family "Bacterial small subunit ribosomal RNA", at positions 355 to 776 of the family's 1533-position model. Lineage: Bacteria; Bacillati; Bacillota. The record is from RNAcentral.
UAGGGAAUCUUCGGCAAUGGACGGAAGUCUGACCGAGCAACGCCGCGUGAGUGAAGAAGGUUUUCGGAUCGUAAAGCUCUGUUGUUAGAGAAGAACGUUGGUAGGAGUGGAAAAUCUACCAAGUGACGGUAACUAACCAGAAAGGGACGGCUAACUACGUGCCAGCAGCCGCGGUAAUACGUAGGUCCCGAGCGUUGUCCGGAUUUAUUGGGCGUAAAGCGAGCGCAGGCGGUUCUUUAAGUCUGAAGUUAAAGGCAGUGGCUUAACCAUUGUACGCUUUGGAAACGGGAGGACUUGAGUGCAGAAGGGGAGAGUGGAAGUCCAUGUGUAGCGGUGAAAUGCGUAGAUAUAUGGAGGAACACCGGUGGCGAAAGCGGCUCUCUGGUCUGUAACUGACGCUGAGGCUCGAAAGCGUGGGGAGCAAACAGG